Molecule: long non-coding RNA, 3132 nt
Organism: Triticum aestivum (bread wheat)
Lineage: Eukaryota; Viridiplantae; Streptophyta; Magnoliopsida; Poales; Poaceae
Exons: 2
Source: RefSeq, a predicted model, not a curated record
UCGUGCUCAGGAAAAUCCAUCGGCUGUUCGUGCGGCCGGCGGCGUUCGUGCGUCGGGAAAAACACCACCAUGUCAUCUCUGUUCUCGUGUUCUUCUCCACCUCCUUCUUCUUCGUUGGUCCGUGCCACAGCAAGUGAGGGAGAGCAGAGAGAGUGCCAGGGCGAGUUAGAGAGACAAAGCUACGGCAACAACAGCCUUGUCCUCCCCGCUAGGGUUGCCGCCGUCGCCCCCAUCCAUGACCGGAUCCGCGGAGGUGGCUGGCAGGGUUAGGUCGAUGGCGCCGAGGAAAAGGAACAGCAGCAGGGCAGUUCUGUCGUGCAGGGUUGAGUGGCGGCCGGAGCGGGUCGGCCACAGAGAUGGUCGUCCGCGGCGUCGUCCUCAGGCAGAGAAGGGAGGGGAGGAUGAGAUGAAGAGAGGAGGGAGAGUGAGACGGCGAGCCCAUGGAGAAGCGCCACCGUGAGCAGAUCUGGCCGUCGGCGGCAAGAAGGCCACGCCCUCCUCCACCCCUGUACGGUCACCCAGGUAUGAAGCCAUCUCCUUGUCCAUCUGCAUGUGUGGAAUUAAAGGAACUUAGGAUUAGAUCACUGUAUGUACAUGGAGGUAAACUGUAUUUACCUGUCACCUGUACAUGAGUUGCUGGUCAUCUAUGACUUGCAGACAAUUCCAUCAGACUUGGCCAAAAAUACCAAAAUCUUAGCAUCGAUGUAUCAGCUGUACAUAUGUUUAAGGCUGAUGCACCUGUCUAAAUGAAGUAAGCUACAUAAGUAGGAAUUUAUUUUGCUAACUGUUGCAUUUAGCUAUAGUUUUUUGAAUUCUGGUCUUCUAAUUAUCAGAUUUUUAUGCUGCAGGUCUGGUCUAUGCUAAAUGAAUGUUGGUGUGCUAGGGCUAGUUGUAUCUGUAGUGCACGAGUGUGUCCAGGAGAAGGAGCAGCAACUCCUUGGACAAUGGUCUGUCCUAAUGAUGUAUGUUUGUUUGCUAACAUAGUGCUAAUGGGUGUGCAAAUUAAGGUUGGGCCGUGUCUACGGCAGCGGCGGGGACCUCCGCCUGUGGGUCUCCGUCUUGCUGCUCAUCCUCUCUUCUAGGUAAAGACAGCAUUGUCAGAUCGUUUAGCUAUCUGUCAAUAAAUAGUCAUUCUGUUUAUAGUUCGCUGUUGCAGAUUGUUUAUAUAAUUAUCCCUGGUUCUAUUGCUAUUUGGUUUAGGUAUAUUGACUCGUAACGAAGUUACAACAGUAUGGAGUAGAGACAAAUUAUUCUCUCAGAAGUAAACUCGUCUCGGUAAAUACUACAGGAAGCAGUGCAAAUGUUCAUACCAUCCCUGAAUAUAUUGGAUUUAGGUUUUGCGGUAUAUCUGUUCUAUAAAUAUAAUCGUGAAGAGUGCUUGUUCAUUGGAACAUUUUUUCUUCUUCCUGAUUUAGCAUCUUAGUAAAGUAUAACUAUCUACAUAGCAUUUUAUAGGAGGCCACAUUCAGACUUCCGUACUAAAUUCUUCAUAGCCUUAUCGUGAUAGUCUCAAUAUAGCUCUCACAUGAGGCCUACUUAUUAUUUCUCCCACCGUAUUUUGUCCAAACUAUUGGUUUUUCGGUGUUUGUUCGAUUGAUUUUGGACGUAGAGUCCGGAUAAUAGUGUACUAGCCUUGUGAAGGCUCUGUACUAUACCCCUCCACACUGCUCUGUCAAUUUAUUUUGGAAAGAUUAUUGUCCUAUGGUCUUCCGGUAUCUCUCUUUCCAAUUUGCAAAGUGUAUAGUAUUUCUAAUUACUAAUGUACUCUUAUUAUUUCCUCUGAUUGGAUUUUAAAACUGUGGUUCACGCAUCCAUAAUUGAAUUAGAGUAUUAUAAAAGGUUUGGAAGCACCUGAAAUAUUGGAAGAAGCUAAGAAUCUUGCUGCAUCUGGUGUCGGUCACAGAAUUUUCUUCUGGUUCUUGCACGAGGUACUCACACAAUUGCCGCCGGUUCUCUGAUCCUUCUUAUUACAUAGUACACUACUACCUUCUUUACAUUCUUUUGCUUCUCUGGCCCAUCAUCUUUGGGUAUUUACAUGUAAACAGAAAGUGUCGAUGAGGCUGCUGCUACUCUCGCUUCACUUACUGAAUCUUGGCCUUGUGUUCAUCUUCUUGUACUGUCUUGGACAUCACGGACUCCAACCAUUUACGCACAUCUUUAUGAUGGUGUCCCGGAGGCGAUGGAGUCUGCAAAGGAAUUUUCCAUCAGGAUGAGAUAUGCGUCGUUUAUUCAUCUAGAUAACCCUCUUUUCACCACCCUAAAAUUUGUAGCAUACGCUGAUCACACAGAUACCAGAUGUGGUUUAUUCUUAGUUGUUAAUUGUUCUGAAAGUGAUGGAUCAAAUGCCUAUGAAGUUGUUUAUAUUCUUGCAUACUACAAGUAGUUGGGGGCCUGCUAAAUGUUAUGAGCAGGAGAAGGUUCUAUCUAGCAUUAGGGAGGGCUUUAUUUAUAAUCCUAAUAAGUAUUAUGUAAAGUUUUUUUUGUUUUUCUCUUUUGAUCUGAAUGGCAUGGAAAAUAUUGACUCAUUUCAUGUCGUCAUUUCAUUUCAUUUUUCUGUCUUGCUCUGUAAAACUUGCUUUUGUUAAUUAGGCCAAAGUUUUCACCCCUUUUAUAAAAGAAAACAAAUAACUUGAUGCUAACAUGCAUGGUGCUUAUGAGAGAAGACCCCACGCAAAUCGGCGACUGGUGUGUCAAGGUGACCAUCCACCAUUGCUUCUUCGACAGCAUGCGGCCGAUCCACCCACACCUGCGGUUCAGCAAGGUCCACCUCUACAACAAAACUACACCAGUGAUUGGGGCAUAUACGCUGUCUGCGACAGUGUCAAAGCUCAGAUUGUAUCCGGUGUAACAUAUACGAUAGACAGAAGAAGACUGCACCUGCAUCGUCAGACAAGAUGAGACGAGGAUGCUGCUGUAGGCUGCCGACAGAGAACAGAUGGUGGACGCGGGGGGGGGGGGGUUGUGGCAAGAGCAGGGCCUCUCGAGCAAGGCCACGGGAAUCUUCUUUGCCAUGGGCACCUAGGGCUGGUGUGCCAAGAUUGAGACAUCGGCACCCGUUGUCCACAUCGAUGCUGGCAAUGAAAAAAAAAUGCAUGGAUCUGCGCAACCAAAUUUGAUGCCCAUCAACAUCAG